RNAcentral lists this ribosomal RNA (483 nucleotides) under uncultured bacterium. RNAcentral describes it as "partial 16S ribosomal RNA". It matches the Rfam family "Bacterial small subunit ribosomal RNA", at positions 30 to 506 of the family's 1533-position model. The record is from RNAcentral.
AUUGAACGCUGGCGGAAUGCUUUACACAUGCAAGUCGAGCGGCAGCACGGGGGCAACCCUGGUGGCGAGCGGCGAACGGGUGAGUAAUACAUCGGAACAUGCCCAGUCGUGGGGGAUAACACUUCGAAAGAAGUGCUAAUACCGCAUACGUCCUGAGGGAGAAAGCGGGGGAUCGCAAGACCUCGCGCGAUUGGAGUGGCCGAUGUCAGAUUAGCUAGUUGGUGGGGUAAAGGCCUACCAAGGCAACGAUCUGUAGCUGGUCUGAGAGGAUGAUCAGCCACACUGGGACUGAGACACGGCCCAGACUCCUACGGGAGGCAGCAGUGGGGAAUUUUGGACAAUGGGGGCAACCCUGAUCCAGCCAUUCCGCGUGAGUGAAGAAGGCCUUCGGGUUGUAAAGCUCUUUCGGCAGGAACGAAACGGUGAGCUCUAACAUAGCUCGCUAAUGACGGUACCUGAAGAAGAAGCACCGGCUAACUACGU